This 427-nucleotide ribosomal RNA is filed under the name uncultured bacterium. RNAcentral describes it as "partial 16S ribosomal RNA". It matches the Rfam family "Bacterial small subunit ribosomal RNA", at positions 355 to 774 of the family's 1533-position model. The record is from RNAcentral.
UGGGGAAUAUUGCACAAUGGGCGCAAGCCUGAUGCAGCCAUGCCGCGUGUAUGAAGAAGGCCUUCGGGUUGUAAAGUACUUUCAGCGGGGAGGAAGGGAGUAAAGUUAAUACCUUUGCUCAUUGACGUUACCCGCAGAAGAAGCACCGGCUAACUCCGUGCCAGCAGCCGCGGUAAUACGGAGGGUGCAAGCGUUAAUCGGAAUUACUGGGCGUAAAGCGCACGCAGGCGGUUGGUUAAGGAAGAGGUGAAAUCCCCGGGCUCAACCUGGGAACUGCAUCUGAUACUGGCAAGCUUGAGUCUCGUAGAGGGGGGUAGAAUUCCAGGUGUAGCGGUGAAAUGCGUAGAGAUCUGGAGGAAUACCGGUGGCGAAGGCGGCCCCCUGGACGAAGACUGACGCUCAGGUGCGAAAGCGUGGGGAGCAAACA